UGAAAUUUUCACUUGGGAUUCGAGGUACGAGUACUAGCUCUUAUUUAGGAUAAGUAGACAACCGAGAGAUACCGCGACAUGGUAUUAGGUUAGAAGAGGAUCAAGAAGUGGCCUUGAUGUUUCUCGAAGUACACUUAAGCCCACUAGACAGAGUACUAGACAAGCCCGAGGUGAAGGCAGCCUCUGAGACCCAUAAUAAGAACCAUCUUAGUACAGGUCCUGCUCGUCAUACUGAUGGAUCGAGGUCGACCAUCGACCACAGGUGGGCACUAAUAAGAAUUAAUAAACUUUUAUAGUUAUUUAUAAGUAUUAAUUAAAUUUGUAACCUUAAAUUAUCUUUAAUCUAACCAUUUUCUUUUGUUCAGGCUAGAGAGUUGGGUCAUGAGCCUAUAGUCUUUGAGUUAUUCCAUGGAUUGCACAGCAAGACUGAUGGCCAGUUUAUCAACAACAAGUCCUAGCAGAUCGUUGUAAGUUACUUAUAACUUAUAAAUUUUCAAUUAAUAUUUCUAGUGUUUUAAUUUAAUAUAAUAAUUAAUUUUGAUUUUUGAUUAACAAAGGAUGUUGUUGAGACGCGGGCAGCUGCCGCAUCUUAGCCCAGCAAGGUGAUCCUAGAUCGGUUUACAUAUCACAGCUAUUGUCGAGGUCGUCAGUGAGGAGAAAAAGCAGCGCAUAUACGAGUUAGGAUCAGAGGAGCCCACCUUCACCUAACCCCGUAGCUCUGACAGCUCUAGCAACACUACCUCUAAUAGCUUGCAAGAGUCCCUCAAACGCGAGUUACGAGCAUAGUUGGAUCAAGAGUACGGCGCCCGCAUAGCAUAUCUAUAGCGGAUGAUAAGCACAUGGUUCACAUAUUUGGUGUUGGCAUCAUUCCACCACCUGCACCUACUCCUCAAGUCGAUGCCUCUGCGACUGCUACCCCAGAUCCUCCA
This 929-nucleotide long non-coding RNA is filed under the name Ricinus communis (castor bean). Its description in RNAcentral is "long non-coding RNA (RCOM_LNC001929)". The record is from RNAcentral. Lineage: Eukaryota; Viridiplantae; Streptophyta; Magnoliopsida; Malpighiales; Euphorbiaceae.